RNAcentral lists this transfer RNA (73 nucleotides) under Gordonia phage Kudefre. RNAcentral's name for it is "tRNA-Trp". It matches the Rfam family "tRNA". From Rfam's summary of the family: Transfer RNA (tRNA) molecules are approximately 80 nucleotides in length. The record is from RNAcentral. Lineage: Duplodnaviria; Heunggongvirae; Uroviricota; Caudoviricetes.
GGGGCGAUAGUUCAGUGGUAGAACGGCGGUCUCCAAAGCCGCUCGCCGGGGUUCGAUUCCUCGUCGCCUCGCC